GCCGUGUACACUUGCGCUUAUCGAUGUCCCAAGUGUCAGCCACCGCAGCUAGCCACCCGGUCGUCUGGUCCGUCAGUCCAAGCCUCACGUCCGCCCUUCACCGCAACCGGUCCGUCAGCACGGCACGCCCUACUUGACCUUCACCCGACCGCUGCCACCGCAUUCAGACUCCACACCUGCACAUCACGAAGCCAAGAGACACCGUUUCGACACAUAACCCUGUGCCAGGAUAUCAGUAGAACCACCGAACCAACAACCCACCAAAAUGUUGGCAUGUUGACAAUCUCUCAUCACACAACAAGGGUACUCCACAAUGGUUAUGUAAAAACCAUGUGUUCGCAAUCUCCCCCUUGAUGAGUGCAUUGUCAACACCAACACAAAGCCAGAGAAAACCAACUCAAGUGUAAGCUCGAAACGGGUCAUUCACAAUGAGUAAAGCAAAGCCAACAACUUGGUCCCCAAAGACAUGGGCAACGGCUCGACACAACCAAGUAAAACACAGCUAGCCCUCAAGAAGAGGCAAACAGGCUCAACACCGCUAGCAAAACUUGAAAAGCCAGAAAACAACUAGACCCUCCAGAAGAGGCAAAGGCUCAACACAUCUAGCAAAAGCAACUCAAAUGCAACUCCCCCUGAGCAAAUGCAAGGCUCAACACCGCUAGCAAAACUUGAAAAGCCAGAAAACAACUAGACCCUCCAGAAGAGGCAAAGGCUCAACACAUCUAGCAAAAGCAACUCAAAUGCAACUCCCCCUGAGCAAAUGCAAUCUCUCUCAAAUGAAUGCAUGUCUCUCUUUUUGUGUGUAACUUUCUCCCCCUUGUUGACACAUGCACUUAUCAAGAUUUGCCCAAAGGAGUGCAACUCCCCCUCAAAACAUGCUAUGAAUGCAAGAAAUGCACAUAUACAAAAGCUUCAGGAGUAUAGCAAUCAGAUUGAAAAGAUGCUCUAGGUGGUGCUGUCAUGUGUGUAUAGCAAUAAGUACAAGUGCUAGCAAAUGCUCAAACUGAUCAAGUGAAAUGAAAUAUGACAUUUAAGCAUUUUUGAUCAAUUUUAAGCAAUUGUAAGAAGGAGUUCACCACUGAAAGUAGCACAUAGCAGGUAUAAGCAGGAAAUCAACCUAGUGCUAACAAGUGUAUACAAGGUGAACUACCCCAAGCAGCGUUCAUACAUCAUGUCAAAGACUAACUUUAGACUUGUGUUUUCAUCAAAUUUUCAUUUUAUCGGAGUUUGCAGCAUAUCACAAGGUUUAGUCAAAAACAUGUGUGAGUGUGAGAGGUUAUCUGUACCAUCAAACCAACUUAUCGACCAUGCCAAGCCUAUGUCAAAGACAAUCGCAAGCUUAAGACAAUGAUCUCGGCAUCCACUACAAGGCUCAAGUUCAUCCAUAAGUGCAAUUGGAAGCAGUCUCGAUACCUUGACGUAGGACAGUACAGACCCAUCUCGAUCUUUUCUUUUCACUUAGCUUGAUUUUCAAUUUUUAGCACAAGAAUUUACAAGUUGUCAAAGCAAGUGUAUAACUCAAAGCAUGAGACAUAGCAACCUAGCAUAUAAAUGAUAGCUCAAGUGAUCUCAACACAUCCUACACAUGCUAGUUGCCAAUCACAAUGGUGAACAAUUUUCAGGUUUCAACAAGUUUAUGUCAAGUUCACAUAUUAUAAAACAUGCUUAGCUCAUAACAUGCAUCAAGUGAUCAAAAAGAGCCUAAGCGACAAGCACCAUCAUGUACAUACAAGACAUAUCACAAAGAGCAUAAUCUCAAUCUAACAACUAUAAUCAUGAAGCUCAAAAUGCUCUAAUAUACAUGAUGAGAUGAAAUGCAAUGCAAUAUGAUACAAAAAUAAAAUAAAAGCAAAACUAAAGGAAAACAAAACUAGUGUACAAAAAACCAAAGUUCCCCUCAACUAAAAAGGGAAACAAACUCCAAGCUCCCCUCGCAAGCGAGCAAACUGGGCUUGGUCAAGGGGUUUGGUAAAGAUGUCUGCAAGCUGAUUUUGGGUAUCAACAUGGUGUAGGUCAAUAUCUCCUUUCUCAUAGUGGUCACGCAGGAAGUGAAAGCGGACAUCUAUAUGCUUGGUUUUUGAGUGGAGAACUGGGUUUUUAGCAACGCUUAUAGCACUGGUGCUAUCACAAAACGGAGGCACUCGCCUAAACUCUAACCCAAAAUCUCUCAAAGUAGCUAUCAUCCAAAGCAACUGGGAGCAGCAAGCAGCAGCAGCAACAUACUCGGCUUCUGUGGUGGAUUGGGCAACUGAGGAUUGCUUGCGAGAGGACCAAGACACAAGAGAAGUCCCAAGAAACUGGCAAGUCCCCGACGUGGACUUACGCUCAACACGGCAGCCGGCAUAAUCCGCAUCAGAAUAGCCGCAAAGAGAAAGAGAGGAGGAAGCUGAAAACCAAAGACCAAACUCAGGUGUGAAACGAAGGUACCUCAAGAUCCGCUUGACGGCUUGACGAUGAGAUGUGCGCGGCGAAGACUGAAAGCGCGCACACAAGCAGACCGCGAACUGGAUGUCCGGUCUUGUCGCCGUCAGGUACAGUAGUGACCCGAUCAUGCUUCGGUACUCCUUCUGGUCCACAGCUUCUCCUUCUUCAUCUGCAUCUAGGGCCGUCGUGGUCGACAUGGGCAUCGAGAGAGGCUUGGCCUCGCCCAUAUCGAAUUUCUUGAGUACGUCCUUGGUGUACUUGCCUUGGUGCACAAACGUCCCUUCUCUAGUUUGCUUGAUUUGCAAACCAAGAAAGAACGUUAACUCACCCAUCAUGCUCAUCUCAAAUUCCCUGCUCAUAGUUUCUGCAAACUUGCCAACAAGUGCAUGAGAAGAGCCACCGAAAAUGAUAUCAUCCACGUAUAUCUGAACCAAAAGAGUGUCAGUGCCUUGCUUGAGGAGAAACAAAGUUUUAUCAACCGAACCCAUUUUAAAACCCUUUGCAAGCAAGAAGGUUUUCAAACGCUCAUACCAGGCUCUCGGGGCUUGUUUUAGACCAUACAAGGCUUUGUGGAGUUUAAAAACAUGGUUAGGAAACUUAGGAUUUUCAAAGCCAGGGGGUUGUCUCACAUAAACCUCUUCCUCUAUAUACCCAUUCAAGAAAGCACUCUUCACAUCCAUCUGAUACAGCUUGAACCCUUUUGAAGCUGCAAAAGCUAAAAGGAUCCUAAUGGCUUCUAAACGGGCAACAGG
This 3176-nucleotide long non-coding RNA is filed under the name Sorghum bicolor (sorghum). Its description in RNAcentral is "long non-coding RNA (SBIC_LNC006861)". The record is from RNAcentral. Lineage: Eukaryota; Viridiplantae; Streptophyta; Magnoliopsida; Poales; Poaceae.